GAUGAACGCUGGCGGCGUGCCUAAUACAUGCAAGUCGAGCGAACAGACGAGGAGCUUGCUCCUCUGACGUUAGCGGCGGACGGGUGAGUAACACGUGGAUAACCUACCUAUAAGACUGGGAUAACUUCGGGAAACCGGAGCUAAUACCGGAUAAUAUAUUGAGCCGCAUGGUUCAAUAGUGAAAGACGGUUUUGCUGUCACUUAUAGAUGGAUCCGCGCCGCAUUAGCUAGUUGGUAAGGUAACGGCUUACCAAGGCAACGAUGCGUAGCCGACCUGAGAGGGUGAUCGGCCACACUGGAACUGAGACACGGUCCAGACUCCUACGGGAGGCAGCAGUAGGGAAUCUUCCGCAAUGGGCGAAAGCCUGACGGAGCAACGCCGCGUGAGUGAUGAAGGUCUUCGGAUCGUAAAACUCUGUUAUUAGGGAAGAACAAAUGUGUAAGUAACUAUGCGCGUCUUGACGGUACCUAAUCAGAAAGCCACGGCUAACUACGUG
This 497-nucleotide ribosomal RNA is filed under the name uncultured bacterium. RNAcentral describes it as "partial 16S ribosomal RNA". It matches the Rfam family "Bacterial small subunit ribosomal RNA", at positions 28 to 507 of the family's 1533-position model. The record is from RNAcentral.